GACGAACUCUGGCGGCGUGCCUAAUACAUGCAAGUAGAACGCUGAAGGAGGAGCUUGCUUCUCUGGAUGAGUUGCGAACGGGUGAGUAACGCGUAGGUAACCUGCCUGGUAGCGGGGGAUAACUAUUGGAAACGAUAGCUAAUACCGCAUAAUAGUAGAUGUUGCAUGACAUUUGCUUAAAAGGUGCAAUUGCAUCACUACCAGAUGGACCUGCGUUGUAUUAGCUAGUUGGUGGGGUAACGGCUCACCAAGGCGACGAUACAUAGCCGACCUGAGAGGGUGGUCGGCCACACUGGGAAUGGGACACGGGCCCGGAUCCUUACGGGAGCAGCAGUAGGGGAUUUUCGGCAAUUGGCGGAAGUCUGACCGAACAACGCCGGGUUAGGGGAGGAAGUUUUCGGAUCGUAAAGCUCUGUUUUUUGGGAAGGAAGAGUGUGAGAGUGAAAAGUUCACGCUGUGACGGUACCUAACCAGAAAGCGACGGCUAACUACGUG
RNAcentral lists this ribosomal RNA (495 nucleotides) under uncultured bacterium. Its description in RNAcentral is "partial 16S ribosomal RNA". It matches the Rfam family "Bacterial small subunit ribosomal RNA", at positions 28 to 507 of the family's 1533-position model. The record is from RNAcentral.